GAGGCCUGCCUGCCCAGUGACAAACGUUCAACGGCCGCGGUAUCCUGACCGUGCAAAGGUAGCAUAAUCACUUGUUCCUUAAUUGGGGACUGGAAUGAAUGGCCUCACGAGGAUUCAACUGUCUCUUACCUCUAAUCAGUGAAAUUGACCUCCCCGUGAAGAGGCGGGGAUACAACAACAAGACGAGAAGACCCUAUGGAGCUUUAAUUUUCUGUCUUAACUACUAAAUAACUAACCCUACUGGGAUAAAAAAAAGAGAAAUAAGUCAGUAAUUUCGGUUGGGGUGACCUCGGAGAAUAAGACAACCUCCGAAUGAUUUUAACCAAGACAAACAAGUCAAAGUAUUAAAAUCAAAUUGACCCAAUUCAUUUGAUCAACGGACCAAGUUACCCUAGGGAUAACAGCGCAAUCCUAUUCAAGAGUCCAUAUCGACAAUUAGGGUUUACGACCUCGAUGUUGGAUCAGGACAUCCCAAUGGUGCAGCAGCUAUUAAUGGUUCGUUUGUUCAACGAUUAAAGUCCUACGUGAUCUG
This 532-nucleotide ribosomal RNA is filed under the name Microtus thomasi (Thomas's pine vole). Its description in RNAcentral is "partial 16S ribosomal RNA". It matches the Rfam family "Bacterial large subunit ribosomal RNA", at positions 1850 to 2607 of the family's 2925-position model. The record is from RNAcentral. Lineage: Eukaryota; Metazoa; Chordata; Mammalia; Rodentia; Cricetidae.